Molecule: transfer RNA, 74 nt
Filed under: Acidobacteriota bacterium
Lineage: Bacteria; Pseudomonadati; Acidobacteriota
Description: Acidobacteria bacterium (rhizosphere metagenome) tRNA-Met
Rfam family: tRNA
About the family: Transfer RNA (tRNA) molecules are approximately 80 nucleotides in length. Their secondary structure includes four short double-helical elements and three loops (D, anti-codon, and T loops).
Source: RNAcentral
GGCGGGGUAGCUCAGCUGGUUAGAGCGACGGACUCAUAACCCGUAGGUCGAGAGUUCGAGUCUCUCCCCCGCCA